This 2343-nucleotide ribosomal RNA is filed under the name Triticum aestivum (bread wheat). RNAcentral's name for it is "partial small subunit ribosomal RNA". The record is from RNAcentral. Lineage: Eukaryota; Viridiplantae; Streptophyta; Magnoliopsida; Poales; Poaceae.
AUGGCCAUGGCCCGGCGUUCCGCUUCCCACCUCCUCUCCUCCUUCCGCCCUUUCUCCCUCCUCCUCCAGCCCCUCGCCGACGCCCCCUCGCCCGCGGCCGCGGCCGCAGCGGCGUCGGCUCGUCGGGCGAUGUCCUCGGCGUCGGCUCUGCGGGCGCGGGGAGACGACAAGGAGUUGGCGCGGUGGCGCGAGUCCAUGGAUCGGAUGCGGAACAUCGGUAUCUCCGCGCACAUCGACUCCGGGAAGACGACGCUGACGGAGCGGGUCCUGUACUACACCGGCCGGAUCCACGAGAUCCACGAGGUGCGUGGCCGCGACGGCGUGGGCGCAAAGAUGGACUCCAUGGACCUCGAGCGCGAGAAGGGCAUCACCAUCCAGUCGGCAGCUACCUACUGUACCUGGAAUGGAUACCAGAUUAAUAUCAUUGAUACCCCAGGUCACGUGGAUUUCACUGUUGAGGUUGAAAGGGCCCUCCGUGUUCUUGAUGGUGCUAUACUUGUGCUAUGUAGUGUUGGUGGUGUACAAAGUCAAUCGAUUACUGUUGAUCGACAAAUGAAAAGAUAUGAAAUUCCAAGGGUUGCAUUUAUUAACAAGUUGGACCGCAUGGGAGCUGAUCCAUGGAAAGUUCUCAACCAGGCUCGGGCCAAACUACGGCACCAGAGUGCAGCUGUACAAGUGCCGAUAGGAUUGGAAGAGGAGUUUGAGGGCCUUGUUGAUCUUGUGGAGUUGAAGGCUUUGAAGUUCGAGGGUGGAAGUGGACAGGAGGUUGUUACAUCUGAUGUCCCAUCCAACAUGCAAGAUUUUGUAAUGGACAAGAGACGUGAACUUAUUGAAGUUGUUUCAGAAGUCGAUGACCAGCUUGCAGAAGCUUUUCUUAAUGAUGAGCCAAUAACAGCUAAUGAGCUUAAGGCUGCUAUCAGAAGGGCAACAGUAGCGCGCAAGUUCAUACCAGUUUACAUGGGAAGUGCAUUCAAAAAUAAGGGUGUUCAACCUCUUCUUAAUGGUGUGCUUGACUAUCUACCCUGCCCACUGGAAGUUGAGAACAUUGCUCUUGACCAAAACAAGUCAGAAGAGAAGGUCUCAUUAUCUGGAACUCCAGCUGGUCCACUUGUGGCAUUAGCCUUUAAGCUUGAGGAAGGCCGUUUUGGUCAGUUGACAUAUCUAAGAAUCUACGAAGGUGUGAUUCGGAAGGGUGACUUCAUACAGAAUGUGAAUACAGGAAAAAAGAUCAAAGUUCCACGAUUAGUAAGGAUGCACUCCAAUGAGAUGGAGGAUAUUCAAGAAGCACAUGCUGGCCAAAUUGUUGCUGUGUUUGGUGUUGAUUGCUCGUCAGGUGAUACAUUUACAGAUGGGUCGGUCAAAUAUACUAUGACUUCAAUGCAUGUCGCUGAACCUGUGAUGUCCUUGGCUGUUAACCCGAUAUCUAAAGAUUCUGGAGGACAAUUUUCAAAAGCACUGAAUCGAUUCCAGAGAGAAGAUCCUACUUUCCGUGUAGGUCUGGAUCCAGAGAGUGGACAGACAAUUAUUUCUGGUAUGGGUGAGUUGCAUUUGGAUAUCUAUGUUGAACGCAUCAGGAGAGAGUACAAGGUUGAUGCAAAGGUUGGGAAACCUCGUGUGAACUUCCGGGAAUCGAUCACCCAGCGUGCUGAAUUUGAUUACUUGCACAAAAAGCAAUCUGGUGGUCAAGGUCAAUAUGGGCGAGUUUGUGGGUACAUUGAGCCUCUUCCAUCAGAUGCUGAAGGUAAAUUUGAAUUUGACAACAUGAUUAUUGGACAAGCAAUUCCGUCCAACUUUAUACCAGCGAUUGAAAAGGGUUUCAAGGAGGCUUGCAAUUCGGGUUCAUUAAUAGGGCAUCCUGUCGAGAAUAUUAGGAUUACACUGACUGAUGGGGCUUCACAUCAAGUCGAUUCCAGUGAGCUUGCGUUUAAGCUAGCUGCUAUCUAUGCUUUUAGACAGUGUUAUACUGCUGCUAAACCUGUUAUAUUAGAGCCUGUGAUGAAGGUGGAACUAAAAUUUCCAACAGAGUUUCAGGGCACAGUAACUGGUGACAUAAACAAGAGAAAAGGUAUUAUUGUUGGAAAUGACCAGGAAGGCGAUGACACAGUUGUAGUAUGCCAUGUUCCACUAAACAAUAUGUUUGGAUAUUCGACAGCGCUUCGCUCAAUGACACAGUCUGCGGCAGCAAUGUUCUGCUACAGAAGUAUUGAUAUUCUGCUACACGCAUGGGUGAUACCUGCCAUAUGUGAGGAAAUAAGAACUUGUAUUUCCUGGAGGCUAAGGGCCAGUAUCAAUAUACAAAGCCUUAUAACAAUGGGGAAUAUCACAUCCUAUACACGGAACUAG